UACGUAGGGAGCAAGCGUUGUCCGGAAUCAUUGGGCGUAAAGCGCGCGUAGGUGGCUUCGUAAGUCCGUUGUGAAAGUCAAAGGCUCAACCUUUGAAAGCCGAUGGAUACUGCGGAGCUAGAGUACGGAAGAGGCGAGUGGAAUUCCUGGUGUAGCGGUGAAAUGCGCGGAUAUCAGGAAGAACACCCGUGGCGAAGGCGGUUCUCUGGGACGGUACUGACGCUGAGACGCGAAAGCGUGGGGAGCGAACAGG
Molecule: ribosomal RNA, 253 nt
Filed under: uncultured bacterium
Lineage: Bacteria
Description: partial 16S ribosomal RNA
Rfam family: Bacterial small subunit ribosomal RNA
Source: RNAcentral